AGCAAACGCUGGCGGCGUGCCUAAUACAUGCAAGUCGAACGGGGAAAGUAGCAAUACGAGUACUAGUGGCGCACGGGUGAGGAACACGUGGGUAAUCUGCCUUCGAGCGGGGGAUAACUAGUCGAAAGAUUAGCUAAUACCGCAUAAGACCACAAUGUCUGUGGACAAAGGGGUCAAAGUCGCAAGACACUUGAAGAUGAGCCCGCGUAAGAUUAGCUAGUUGGUGAGGUAAUGGCUCACCAAGGCGAUGAUCUUUAGCUGGUCUGAGAGGAUGAUCAGCCACACUGGAACUGAGACACGGUCCAGACUCCUACGGGAGGCAGCAGUAGGGGAAUAUUGGACAAUGGGCGCAAGCCUGAUCCAGCCAUGCCGCGUGAGUGAUGAAGGCCUUAGGGUUGUAAAGCUCUUUUGCCGGGGACGAUAAUGACGGUACCCGGAGAAUAAGUCCCGGCUAACUUCGUGCCAGCCGCCGCGGUAA
RNAcentral lists this ribosomal RNA (478 nucleotides) under uncultured bacterium. RNAcentral's name for it is "partial 16S ribosomal RNA". It matches the Rfam family "Bacterial small subunit ribosomal RNA", at positions 29 to 523 of the family's 1533-position model. The record is from RNAcentral.